GUCAUCCUCAGAACGACCGGCUGAAACAGAGCUUUUCUCUUCAGAAGCGCGUCGUUACAACAAAAACAGCGCAAGCAGAUGGAACGAGCAAAAUGUGGUGCAGAGAGUGCUGUCCAGUGUUCUGUCCAGUGUUCACUCCAGAUUUAUGUCCAUCAUGGAGGUAAUUACAUCCUCUCACACUGUGCAAAAAUAUAGGUUUACAUGAUUUUUUAAAAUGGAAAGCUGAGAUUGUUUUUGAAAACAAUUAACAGUAUUUGAGCCAAGGAGUUUUAACGAAUCGUUUCACCGUUAAAAUGAUUUUUGUACAGAUUAAAAAAUUAAUUGAGCACUUUAUUUACUGGAUAUCUGUAUAUUUUUGUUUGUUUACCUGUUUAUCUCUGCUCUGCAGUUCCGAAAAAAAUUCUCAAUGCAGCCUGUUCAGCAUGAGCAAGAGGAGUUGAAGGAUAAGUCUCCACCUCAUCCAUUGGUGCCACUCGGCGCUCUGACUGGGGUCCUGACCAUACACAUACGAAGCUGCAGAGACUUCAUGAAAACCACUCAUAUACAGAAAGGCACUCUAUGUGUUGUGAGGAUCACUGUGGGGAGAAUGGUGAAGAGCUCCCUGCUGCUCCCUUCGAAGACAUCAUCGCUUUCAAUGAAGUGAAACACUUCAUACAGUAAUGUGACGAUCCCUUGCAGACCAUCCUCUGUCAACAUCGUGUCCUCUCUGAUGGAACAAGAUGCACAGAGAGACAGAGAGUGCAGGAUAUCUGCUGGUGUAAUGGACUGCAUGGAUAGGAGAGGCAGGUCAGUGUCGAACUUCUUCAAGGCCUAAGCUGACAGUAGCAUGGAGAAGCCACACAAUGAACUUGGUCUACGCCAGGGCAAAGUAUAUAGUGAUUCUGUGCUGUAAUUUAUAUCACAUAAAUGUAGAGCUGCAACU
Molecule: long non-coding RNA, 922 nt
Organism: Pygocentrus nattereri (red-bellied piranha)
Lineage: Eukaryota; Metazoa; Chordata; Actinopteri; Characiformes; Serrasalmidae
Source: Ensembl